AACGAACGCUGGCGGCAUGCCUAACACAUGCAAGUCGAACGAGACCUUCGGGUCUAGUGGCGCACGGGUGCGUAACGCGUGGGAAUCUGCCCUUGGGUUCGGAAUAACAGUUAGAAAUGACUGCUAAUACCGGAUAAUGUCUUCGGACCAAAGAUUUUAUCGCCCCAGGGAUGAGCCCCGCGUAGGAUUAGCUAGUUGGUGAGGUAAAGGCUCACCAAGGCGACGAUCCUUAGCUGGUCUGAGAGGAUGAUCAGCCACACUGGGACUGAGACACGGCCCAGACUCCUACGGAGGCAGCAGUGGGAAGUAUUGGACAAUGGGCG
Molecule: ribosomal RNA, 323 nt
Filed under: uncultured bacterium
Lineage: Bacteria
Description: bacterial SSU rRNA
Rfam family: Bacterial small subunit ribosomal RNA
Source: RNAcentral